CACAUUUAGUGAAUGCAGCAAUCGGAUGAUUACGCAAGCUCGCUACAGAAAGGAUCACCGUAAAAUUAAACAAAUCGACCGCUUAAAGAGCUUCAUAUUGCAACACGACAACCACGUGAUCACCAGGAACGAUUCCGACAUUACGGUGCAAAACGGGAUCAUCUUGGGGACUUGGACCGAGUCAUAUGCCAGACAAAUCACAGGCUCAACUUAAAUCCCUUUUGAUCACUUCGGUCACAGGAUCAGCUCGUAGGGCCUGAGCCCAAGCAAAUUGUUCGCGCACCCACAAGCACACAUAGAAGGCCUUCAUAAAGAGGGCCUUUUAUUUACAGGCCAAAGCGUGGUUCAUCAAUCCCCACUCAUCAACUGAGUCAACUGCUAGAGGGCGCUGGAAAGGCGACACCUUGGACCACCUCACCAAGUUCCAGCGAGCAAAUUCGGUGGCGGUUCUGUCAGCUGGUGAACAGGCGCGAGU
Wyeomyia smithii (pitcher-plant mosquito) is the source of this 475-nucleotide long non-coding RNA. RefSeq lists it as uncharacterized. NCBI's taxonomy places the organism in Eukaryota, Metazoa, Arthropoda, Insecta, Diptera, Culicidae. The record is from RefSeq and is a predicted model, not a curated record. The transcript has 3 exons.